RNAcentral lists this ribosomal RNA (497 nucleotides) under uncultured bacterium. RNAcentral describes it as "partial 16S ribosomal RNA". It matches the Rfam family "Bacterial small subunit ribosomal RNA", at positions 28 to 507 of the family's 1533-position model. The record is from RNAcentral.
GAUGAACGCUGGCGGCGUGCCUAAUACAUGCAAGUCGAGCGAACGGACGAGAAGCUUGCUUCUCUGAUGUUAGCGGCGGACGGGUGAGUAACACGUGGAUAACCUACCUAUAAGACUGGGAUAACUUCGGGAAACCGUAGCUAAUACCGGAUAAUAUUUUGAACCGCAUGGUUCAAAAGUGAAAGACGGUCUUGCUGUCACUUAUAGAUGGAUCCGCGCUGCAUUAGCUAGUUGGUAAGGUAACGGCUUACCAAGGCAACGAUGCAUAGCCGACCUGAGAGGGUGAUCGGCCACACUGGAACUGAGACACGGUCCAGACUCCUACGGGAGGCAGCAGUAGGGAAUCUUACGCAAUGGGCGAAAGCCUGACGGAGCAACGCCGCGUGAGUGAUGAAGGUCUUCGGAUCGUAAAACUCUGUUAUUAGGGAAGAACAUAUGUGUAAGUAACUGUGCACAUCUUGACGGUACCUAAUCAGAAAGCCACGGCUAACUACGUG